Molecule: long non-coding RNA, 510 nt
Filed under: Homo sapiens (human)
Lineage: Eukaryota; Metazoa; Chordata; Mammalia; Primates; Hominidae
Description: HSALNT0341504
Source: RNAcentral
GUUUUUGCUUUGGAAUGGUCUGGAACUCCUGAGCUCAAGUGAUCCUCCCACCUUGGCCUCCCAAAGGCCUGGGAUUACACGUAUGAGCCACCGCACCAAGCCCAGGUUGAGCUUUUAAGGUAUUAAAGAUCCACUAGGUGAAAAAAAAGAGUGAAAGAUACAUAUGCCAUUUAAGGGAAGCACAGGAAAACUCCUAUUUUGUUUAUAUGUGAAUAGAGGCGCAUAGAUGCCUAGAAAAGUGUCUGGGAGGGAAUGAAACCAGAUUGGCCACAAAAAUCACCUCUGGAAAAAGGAAAAGAAUGGGGACUUUCACUUUUUGCUUCAUAUGUUUCAUGCACCUUUUUUUUUUUUUUUUUUUGAGAUGGAGUUUCACUCUUAUUGCCCAGGCUGGGGUGCAGUGCGAGACCCCGUCUCAAACAAACAAAACAAAACAAAAUGAGGACAAUGGGGCUUCCAAUGGCAACUCGAGACGUUAGUUUACUCCAGAGUCAUGGAGACAGAGAAUGGAGU